This 499-nucleotide ribosomal RNA is filed under the name uncultured bacterium. RNAcentral's name for it is "partial 16S ribosomal RNA". It matches the Rfam family "Bacterial small subunit ribosomal RNA", at positions 28 to 507 of the family's 1533-position model. The record is from RNAcentral.
GAUGAACGCUGGCGGCGUGCCUAAUACAUGCAAGUCGAGCGAACAGACGAGAGUGCUUGCACUCUCUGACGUUAGCGGCGGACGGGUGAGUAACACGUGGGUAACCUACCUAUAAGACUGGGAUAACUUCGGGAAACCGGAGCUAAUACCGUAUAAUAUUUAGCUUCGCAUGAAGCAAUAGUGAAAGACGGUUCUGCUGUCACUUAUAGAUGGACCCGCGGUGUAUUAGCUAGUUGGUGAGGUAACGGCUCACCAAGGCAACGAUACAUAGCCGACCUGAGAGGGUGAUCGGCCACACUGGGACUGAGACACGGCCCAGACCCCUACGGGAGGCAGCAGUAGGGAAUCUUCCGCAAUGGACGAAAGUCUGACGGAGCAAUGCCGCGUGAGUGAAGAAGGUUUUCGGAUCGUAAAACUCUGUUGUAAGGGAAGAACAAGUACGUUAGUAACUGAACGUACCUUGACGGUACCUUACCAGAAAGCCACGGCUAACUACGUG